This 689-nucleotide small RNA is filed under the name Pan troglodytes (chimpanzee). RNAcentral describes it as "retained intron". The record is from RNAcentral. Lineage: Eukaryota; Metazoa; Chordata; Mammalia; Primates; Hominidae.
CGAUGUCUUCCUUAUAUGCUUCUCGGUGGUAAAUCCAGCCUCAUUUCAAAAUGUGAAAGAGGAGUGGGUACCGGAACUUAAGGAAUACGCACCAAAUGUACCCUUUUUAUUAAUAGGAACUCAGAUUGAUCUCCGAGAUGACCCCAAAACUUUAGCAAGACUGAAUGAUAUGAAAGAAAAACCUAUAUGUGUGGAACAAGGACAGAAACUAGCAAAAGAGGUAAUGGAACACUUACAGAAUUUAAGCAUGAAUGUAAAAGAUGCUAAGAUAACAAUAGAAGCUAAUUUUAUUGUGUAUUUACUGUGUGCCAGGCGGAGUGCUUUACAUGCAUUAUCUCAUUUAAUCCUUGCAUGAACUCAGUGAGGUAGGUCUGUUUCCCCUGUUACACAGAAGAGACAGUGGAGGCUUGGAGAUGUCAGAUAAUUCGCCCAAGAUCCUGCAGGUAAUAAAUGGCAGAGUUGGGUUUCAGUCCAAAGCCUGACUCCUGGGCCGAGGCUCUUACACCUUUGCUACAUUGCCAGUGAUAUUUUCCUAAAAAGUCACAUAUGGAAAAAAGCAUCGGAAACUCGUGUCACUACUUUCAACCCUUCUUCAUUACUUAAACAGUUGCACUGUGCCAAAUCAGCUCUGUCUUAAGACUCAUUGAGUUAGACAGUGGAGCCACCUAGGAUGACAGUUUAAAUUUGUG